CCUACGGGAGGCAGCAGUGAGGAAUAUUGGUCAAUGGACGAGAGUCUGAACCAGCCAAGUAGCGUGAAGGAUGACUGCCCUAUGGGUUGUAAACUUCUUUUAUAUGGGAAUAAAAUGUUCCACGUUUGGGAUUUUGUAUGUACCAUAUGAAUAAGGAUCGGCUCACUCCGUGCCAGCAGCCGCGGUAAUACGGAGGAUCCGAGCGUUAUCCGGAUUUAUUGGGUUUAAAGGGAGCGUAGGUGGAUUGUUAAGUCAGUUGUGAAAGUUUGCGGCUCAACCGUAAAAUUGCAGUUGAAACUGGCAGUCUUGAGUACAGUAGAGGUAGGCGGAAUUCGUGGUGUAGCGGUGAAAUGCUUAGAUAUCACGAAGAACUCCGAUUGCGAAGGCAGUUCACUGGACUGCAACUGACACUGAGGCUCGAAAGUGUGGGUAUCAAACAGGAUUAGAUACCCUUGUAGUC
Molecule: ribosomal RNA, 460 nt
Filed under: uncultured bacterium
Lineage: Bacteria
Description: partial 16S ribosomal RNA
Rfam family: Bacterial small subunit ribosomal RNA
Source: RNAcentral